AUAUAUGGCUGAAUCAGCCAUGAAUGAAGUCUUUUCUUGGUCUUCCUCGACCAUGAGGAUUUGAUGAUACCCUGAGAAUACAUCUAAGAAGUUGUACAACUUAUGUCCGGAUGUGCUAUCCACAAGAUUGUCAAUCCUGGGUAGCGGGUAGCUGUCUUUAGGGCACGCCUAAUUGAGAUCUGUGAAGUUGAUGCAGACCCUCCAUUUACCGCUGGCUUUCUUUACAAGAACAAUAUUAGAGAGCCAAUCGGGGUAUUGGACUUCCCUUAUGAACCCUACUCUCACCAGUUUGCCGACCUCUUCCUGAAUGACCACACGUCUUUUCGGCGCAAAGUGCCUCUUCCUCUACUUAACAGGUUUAGCCCCUGAGCUUAUAUUGAGUCUAUGGACUGCUACUUCAGGGUCUAUCCCUGGCAUAUCCUCAACCUUCCAUGCAAAAAUAUCGAUGUUACGGGACAAGCA
This 462-nucleotide long non-coding RNA is filed under the name Olea europaea subsp. europaea. Lineage: Eukaryota; Viridiplantae; Streptophyta; Magnoliopsida; Lamiales; Oleaceae. The record is from RNAcentral.